UCGUCAACACACUGAUUUUCGUUUCUGGGCAGGUGGUCGCUUACCUCUGAGGUCAACUAACUCGGCCUGCUUAAGUUAUUCAAAAGUGUACUAAGAAAAAAUAAGAAUUGACUUUGGAAAACGAUUUUCUAUUUUUUAAGAUGUCAAUUAACGGACUACGAAAGAGUUCGCAGCAGCAAGUUGAUGGAGCGCGAAGUCGUACUCCAUUUGACCUUCUACAAGAGCAUAUGGAGGACAUACUAGGGACUGGAGGGGUCCUGAAGGAAGUGGUCCACCCCGGAGAUGGCCCCCUUGUGCCCACAAAUGCUUCAGUGUUAAUGCAUUACUCUGGUUUCUUGGAAUAUUCGGACCUGCCGUUUGAGACCACCACUCGCUCCAAGCAUGCCCAGUUUUUCAAGCUGGGCCGAGAUGUGACUCUGAUCGGAAUGGAGCUGGGCCUGCUGACCAUGCGCAAAGGCGAGUUCUCACGCUUCCUGCUGCAGCCGCAUUACGCCUACGGAGACCUGGGCUGCCCGCCAUUCAUCCCUGCCGCCUCCCGUGUUUUGUUCGAGAUCCAGCUAGUAGAAAUUCUAGACUCGGGAUUAGUGGACCAGUUUUUCCAAAUGACUGCUGAGGAGCAGAACGAGGUUCCCUUGUCCAAACUGCUGGAAGCGGUCAAGACACUGCGCACUUUGGCUAACCGAUGCUUCAAGCAGAAUCGCUAUGAUAAAGCCAAAGAGCACUACAAGAAAGCAUUGGAGUUGCUGGACAACAGAGUGAUGCACAACGACGUCGAACAUCAGGAGGUCCAGGCGGCGCUGUUGCCUCUUUUUCUCAAUCUGUCCUUCACUGCUCUGCGUCUGGAAAACCCGCAGAAAGCGCUCAAGUACGCCAAAAGCGCUCUGGAUGUGGACUCUACCAGCACUAAAGCGCUUUACCGCUGCGCGCAGUUAUCCACAUCAGGCAUACGCGGAGCUACGAGACUUCGAGAGCGCUCACUGUUGCCUCAUCAAGGCCCAGGCCAAGAGGCCGUUUGAUGAGGACCUCAAUAACCUUCUGAAGAGAGUCACCCUGUGCUGCAAAGACAAUUUGGACAAAGAAAAAGACUUCUGCGCCAAAAUGUUUCCAGGCUUUCAGAACAGUGAGUACGAUGAUCCGAACAAGUGAGGAACCGCCACGAAUCCCAGGUCCGACGUUCUUCUAAUAGCCGUUACCUUGUUAAGAUGUUUUGCAAUUUCUUUUGUCUCAAUCGGUUUCUCCACCUCAUUUGUUUUCUAUCAUGUUAAGUGUAUCACAUUGUUCCUUUAAUUAGGCCUGUGCACUCUUGACAAAGCAAUAAAUAACAGCAAUUACUUCUGUUGUAACCAGUUACCUUCUUAUGUCUUAUUUUUGUUACGCUAACUCUCGCAAUGACUCAGAGCACUUCCCAACCACUUAGUGGGCUCCUAAUGGCCGUGUAAAGAUGGAAGAGAGCGAUGAGUGGAAAGUUGAAAGGAAGGAGAGAGAA
This is an RNA transcript of Corythoichthys intestinalis (scribbled pipefish), 1486 nucleotides long. It is a transcript of the gene named FKBP prolyl isomerase 6, with no coding region annotated. The record is from RefSeq and is a predicted model, not a curated record. The transcript is spliced from 9 exons. NCBI's taxonomy places the organism in Eukaryota, Metazoa, Chordata, Actinopteri, Syngnathiformes, Syngnathidae.